GUGCUCACUUUAGCAGUACAAUACUUAAACUGGAACAAUACAGGGAAGAUUAGCACGGCCCCUGAGCAAGACUGACACGCAAAUUCGUGAAGCAUUCCAUAUUUUU
Molecule: small nuclear RNA, 106 nt
Organism: Onychomys torridus (southern grasshopper mouse)
Lineage: Eukaryota; Metazoa; Chordata; Mammalia; Rodentia; Cricetidae
Source: RefSeq, a predicted model, not a curated record